RNAcentral lists this small nucleolar RNA (129 nucleotides) under Dasypus novemcinctus (nine-banded armadillo). RNAcentral describes it as "Small nucleolar RNA SNORA63 (ENSDNOG00000027656.1)". Lineage: Eukaryota; Metazoa; Chordata; Mammalia; Cingulata; Dasypodidae. The record is from RNAcentral.
AUGCAGGUUCUAGCUACAAUGCAGCUGUGAAGUGCUGCACUGUGUUUGUCCCUGCUCAAAAUGAAACUGUUCCUUUCCAGCCCUGACUGCUGUGGUGCUGCCGCAGCCAGGGACGCAGCUCUCAGACAC